Carassius gibelio (silver crucian carp) is the source of this 2925-nucleotide long non-coding RNA. RefSeq lists it as uncharacterized. The record is from RefSeq and is a predicted model, not a curated record. NCBI's taxonomy places the organism in Eukaryota, Metazoa, Chordata, Actinopteri, Cypriniformes, Cyprinidae. The transcript is spliced from 4 exons.
AGGUGAUUAUUUGUAUGACAGGAUAAAUGUUAUUCUAUUCUCCAGUAUUUCUUUCAUAGUAGAAAGGUCUAAUAUAUAUAUUGACAUUUUCACUGAAUAUAGGCAGUCAUUACUCUGUUCUACUCGGGGCAUCCAGAAGCCUCUUGAUCUGUAUACAUCCUGAAUGUUGCUUUGAGAGAAAAGCUUAUUUUUGCAACAUUUCUCUUUUUGUUUUCUCCUGUCAGCAUUGAGACGUGUGCACCACCCCUUGACACGUUCCGGCCCUGACCCCUGCCGGGUGGAGCAGGGUGAACUUCCUUCCUGUGGAGACCCACGAAGGUUCUACGAAACAACAGUUCUUUCCUGGGAUGCCAGUGUUGCCAGGAUAUGAGUGGAUAUAGUAAACAGAGCUGUUCAUACAGUUUGUAGCCUCGUGAGCAGGAAAUGGAGAUGAACACGGAUACAGCAGCACUUAAUCACCAGCAUUACUCUUACCUCACCAGAUUUCAGGAGGAGACACUGGCUGACUGAUGUGCCACUCACUCCAUCUUCAAGCAAACAUAAGGCUCACCUACAGGGUUCCACUGCAGAUUUUGGCCUGCUGGUUGUUGGGGUGGUUGUCAUGGGUGGAGUCAAACAUCUGGGCCAAUAUCCAUCCUGAAACAUCAUUCCUGUAUUUCUGCAUAGGACAACAGAGGAUCGGAAAACCUGAGAACACUCUUGAAAUGGCAACAGGAAACAAGGAGAAAUGAAGUGAGCUCCGUGCCAGAGGCUCUUUAGAGAUCCAAGAGUCCCAUCAGCAGUAGCGCAGAAGAGUCCAUAAACCCAGCGGUCUCCACUCAAGUUUCCAUCUGCUAAAUUCUAGUCUAGUUAAAUAAGAGGCGGAAUCUUUUUCCAGCAGAGUCCACUAUUACUGUACUGAGAUCAGUGGGACAGCUGGACAAGAGAACUGGCUUCAACAUCCAUGACCUUCAGAGAGGUCAGCCCACAUCCACAUGCUCUUUGGCACAGGAAGCAGUUUGAGAUUUCAUUUGAUUUUACUGGCACUUGAAAUAGCAGGCGAUUUGAAAAAAGGUGUGGCAAUACCAAAGCUGCUAUUUUUCACAUUAUAUAAUGGCAGCUGAAAUCAAUGGAAAGUGUUUUGCAGGAAUCAGAUUAUGUGUAUGAAAUGGAAUUACAUUAUGAAACUGUUUCCCUAUUUAAAUAAGCUAAGAGGCUUGUAAGCUGAAAGCAAUAUGACCAUUUCUCUCUCUUUCUCUCUCACUUCAGUGUUUGUUUAUGCUGAAGAAACAGAGAGCUGAGAGUGCAUAACUGCUCUGCAAAUCAGGAAAUUAUAUAUUAAAAGGUUACAUAUACUGAAAAUAUCUCACCCAGUGCAAUGUUUGUUUGAAAUCUGUUUGAUGCUAAUUAAACACAAAGGCCAUUUUAUUGUUUUAGACUGUUUUAUAUGUGAAACAUGCUGCUCAUGCAUGUUAGUUAACAGUGCCAGGGUUAAGUAAGUAAUACGAGUAGUGUAUAGCAUUAUUAAAAGGAUAUUUCACCAAAAAAAAAAGAAAAAAAAAUCCACCCACAUAUUUGAUUUGAACUGCAGACAGUGUUUGAUCUGUGCAUUUAUCUGUCAAUUUUGUGGAUUUAAGACUUGUACAAGCACACAGAUUUUCACUUUACUUUUUCACGUUUAAUAAUGGCCUGGAGUUGUGUAAAUUGCUUGUGGAUUAUUGUGAUGUUUUUAUUCAUCAUUCUGAUGGCACCCAUUCACUACAGAGGAUCUAUUGGUGAGCAAGUAAUGCAAUGGUAAAUUUCUCUAAAUCUGUUCAAAUGAAGAAACACUCAUCUGCCACUUGGAUCACACGAGGCUGAUCAUAAAAUGUUAUCAUAUAAAAGAUCAGAGGCAAUUUGACUUUUAUACUUUCUCUGUUUCUCUACAAGGUUUCUCUUUCCUCGUGUCUCAGAGAACCAGAGGACAAACUCUGUUCUGUCAAACUCAUUCUGCUCCAUCUCCUUCAGUCUAGGACAAUGAGAACGUCUCUACCAAGAUCCUAAAUCACUGACAAACAAAGCAUUGCACUGGUGUGACAGAAAAGUGAUAACAGGCCAGCUGUAUCCGCUGCUGGUGUGGGACUGCUCGAGUUUGAUGCACAUCAUUCAACUUGUCUCUUUUGGUUUUCUUUCAAAGGCCUCUUUCUUGUCCUUAUUCCCUCUCUCUUUAUUGACAAGCUAGAACAGAACUGUCAUUUUUGGUGUCCCGCAUCUAAUUUCAAGGCAGUGGAUGUGCACACAUAGACAGAGUUUCACCGAGAUGGAUGUAGGAUGAUGGUAUGAUAUCAAUGUUUGCGGUAGGAGGAUGAGUGGGAAGAAAAUAUGACUGCCCUGUUGAUUUUUUUAUUUUUUUGCCAAGUUGUUGGUUGAAGCUGAGUGGACAGAGUUUAGACGGGGCUGGUGCUGUCCGUUGAACUGUGAGCACUCAAACAUAGAGAAAGCAUGAAAGAGAUGGUUUAACAUUGAAGAUUGUAUCACUUUUAUUCCUGUUUUGUGGGUGGAAUUCCAUCUCUGAACUAGAAGUAUAAACAGCUAAUUUCCGAUACUGUGCUCCUCAGUUCAUCAGCUUCAUCACGCCUCGCUGAUGUCUGAGUAAUGGGUGAGGACAGAGUUCAUCUGAGGUUUCGGAGAACUCACACCACACUGAUAUAUUCUGCAGUGUGUUCAUCUGGACACGGCAGCCGCGUGAAACGGCAAAAUAUUUCCCUUUAGCCAUACAGUCUACAUUUUGAAGUUUUAUUGUUGACUCCUAAUGGAAAUUAUAGAUUUUUUACAACAACUGAAAUCUAUUUUACAAUGUUGAUGAUAUAUUUUUUUUUCCCCCUCACCACCUUCAGAAAGUUCUGACUUCUAGAUAAAUUACAGUUUGUGAUUAUGAGUUUGAUUACUGAUUAGGAUUUUAUAUUA